This 361-nucleotide ribosomal RNA is filed under the name uncultured bacterium. RNAcentral describes it as "bacterial SSU rRNA". It matches the Rfam family "Bacterial small subunit ribosomal RNA", at positions 8 to 334 of the family's 1533-position model. The record is from RNAcentral.
AGAGUUCGAUUAUGGCUCAGGACGAACGCUGGCGGCGCGCUUAACACAUGCAAGUCGAACGGAGUUGUUUCUGACACUUUGGAGACGGGGAACUGUCUUUAAAGUGUUGGGAAUAACUUAGUGGCGGACGGGUGAGUAACACGUGAGCAACCUACCUUUCAGAGGGGGAUAACGUCUGGAAACGGACGCUAAUACCGCAUGACAUAGCUGGAUGGCAUCAUCUAGUUAUCAAAGGAGAAAUCCGCUGGGAGAUGGGCUCGCGGCCGAUUAGGUAGUUGGAGUGGUAACGGCACACCAAGCCGACGAUCGGUAGCCGGACUGAGAGGUUGGACGGCCACAUUGGGACUGAGACACGGCCCAG